GACGAACGCUGGCGGCGUGCUUAACACAUGCAAGUCGAACGGAAAGGCCCUGCUCUUGUGGGGUGCUCGAGUGGCGAACGGGUGAGUAACACGUGAGUAACCUGCCCUUGACUUUGGGAUAACUUCAGGAAACUCGGGCUAAUACCGGAUAGGAGCUCCUGCUGCACGGUGGUGGUUGGAAAGUUUCGGUGGUUGGGGCUGGUCUCGCGGCUUAUCAGCUUGUUGGUGGGGUAGUGGCUUACCAAGGCUUUGACGGGUAGCCGGCCUGAGAGGGUGACCGGCGACAUUGGGACUGAGAUACGGCGCAGACUCCUACGGGACGCAGCAGUGGGGAGUAUUGCACAAUGGGCGGAAGCCUGAUGCAGCAACGCCGCGUGCGGGAUGACGGCCUUCGGGUUGUAAACCGCUUUCGACUGUGACGAAGCGUGAGUGACGGUAAUGGGUAAAGAAGCACCGGCUAACUACGUG
RNAcentral lists this ribosomal RNA (468 nucleotides) under uncultured bacterium. RNAcentral describes it as "partial 16S ribosomal RNA". It matches the Rfam family "Bacterial small subunit ribosomal RNA", at positions 28 to 507 of the family's 1533-position model. The record is from RNAcentral.